Molecule: unclassified non-coding RNA, 336 nt
Filed under: Bombus terrestris (buff-tailed bumblebee)
Lineage: Eukaryota; Metazoa; Arthropoda; Insecta; Hymenoptera; Apidae
Description: misc RNA ENSBTSG00005025933.1
Source: RNAcentral
AGCGACAACGACAACGACAACGACAACGCUACGGGCUACGAUGACGUCGAGGGCGACGACGGCGACGACGUUGGCGACGGUAGUAGCGGAGGGACGGGGAUGAGAGUCGAUGGUCGAAGCGAACGGCAAUAAAUCCAUUUUUCGUGAAGGGUCGGUCGAGGGGCGAGAGCGAGCCAGGGUCUGAUUAGCAGCCUGACUCGCCGUACAGGAUGACAGCCGGAUUCUCGCCGGCUGAUCGUGAAUCACCGGGUCGUCAAACUUUCGAGCAACGCGUGGCAACGUAGAAGAUUCGUCGCGUUAAAGCUGAGCGAUCGAUGUCGUUUCGAAAGAUCGAAA